RNAcentral lists this ribosomal RNA (253 nucleotides) under uncultured bacterium. RNAcentral describes it as "partial 16S ribosomal RNA". It matches the Rfam family "Bacterial small subunit ribosomal RNA", at positions 524 to 776 of the family's 1533-position model. The record is from RNAcentral.
UACGUAGGGUGCAGGCGUUAAUCGGAAUUACUGGGCGGAAAGCGUGCGCAGGCGGUUUCUUAAGUCAGAUGUGAAAGCCCCGGGCUUAACCUGGGAACUGCGUUUGAAACUGGGAGACUUGAGUGUGGCAGAGGGGGGUGGAAUUCCACGUGUAGCAGUGAAAUGCGUAGAUAUGUGGAGGAACACCGAUGGCGAAGGCAGCCCCCUGGGUUAACACUGACGCUCAUGCACGAAAGCGUGGGGAGCAAACAGG